Long non-coding RNA from Zingiber officinale, 938 nucleotides. RefSeq lists it as uncharacterized. The record is from RefSeq and is a predicted model, not a curated record. Lineage: Eukaryota; Viridiplantae; Streptophyta; Magnoliopsida; Zingiberales; Zingiberaceae. The transcript is spliced from 3 exons.
UAAGUUAUAAAAUAAAGGUUGUCCGAGCCCUAGCUUCCUCAUCGCCGAUUCCCUUGUUCUCGCGAGCUCCUGCACCCGCCGGCCUCUCCUCCUCUCCCGAGCCCUCACCUCCUCCGUCGAACUCCUUUCUCCCGACCUCCUCUCCCUCGCCGAACCACUUCUCCCCAAGCUAAGUCGUUGAUCUCUCCCUCACGCGAGCACCAGCCGACCUUUCUCCCUCGCACGAGCAGCGAGACACCGACGUUGCCAGCCAUCGACACCGCCGGCCAUGGGAGAUCGGUAGCCGUCAAGUUUCUCCCUUACAUGACUCUGCUCGAUGGUCGAUUGCGCUGGCAGCACUUGCUAGCCACUGCCCCUUUCUCCAAGCUUCUUCUUUCUUCUCCUAAGUUUUUUCCAGCCGUGCCCUAGCUUUGAUUUGUCGCCGGGAGGGUGGAGUUGAUGAAGGGGGGCGAUGACAAACUCCUCACCUCGCUUGCGGAUCCGAGCAAGCCAACGUAGAUUCUAUCAAUGAGGUACAUCUCCUCCUCUUCACCGGAUCUAGAUCAAAGCCGGCUGUUUUCUCCUUGCCUGUCUAAUGGCAACUUCGAAUCCGCUUCACUAAAUUCCCUUUUAUUCUAUUACCGACCAGACACAGCCACAUCUGUGAAUCGUCGUCGCUGCCCUUCCUUUCAGUGGACAAUGGGCUACUAUUCGGGUAGAGAUAGUGAAGAAGCAGUGAACCUCCGGUAAAAUUAAGGAAGUUGCUGGAUCAGCCGUUGCAACUUCGACCUUGUUUCCGGCAACAGCUUCGUAGUAGCUUCAACAAUGAAUUUCCAGUAGUAAGUUUCUCCGGCGGCUGGUUAACAACAAUGCAAUCAGAUUUGGAUAAGUCAUAGAGGACUUCGAUUCGAGACGAGCGUCUCGAAGUGGGAUUUAUUUGGUACAAUCUACGUAUAAAG